UGCUAGAAUUAAUAUUGGCACACAAGGACGCGACUCGGGCACUGGUAGCUGAGAUUAAUUAAAUAAUCACUGAGCUUGGCCUAAGUGAGCCAGAGUUAGUGGGUUGAACAUUGGGCUUGGCCUAAGUGAGCCGAAGACAGUGACUUUAACUGAGGGUGCGGCCUAAGAGCGUUGAGCCUGUAUAUUGUAUGAUAUGUUUACUGUACACUACAACAUUUUUUAGCAUAUAUUACGGUAAAUAAAUAUCAUAUAUUCAAAAUGUUAUCAAUAAAAUAAGUAACACAGUCCCAUACAAAAAAAACAUGGUUCCAUAUAUAAAAAACAAAGGAAAUAACACGGAAUAAAAAUAAAUAAAAAGAAAAAAGCUACGCGCUAAAAUGAAGCACCAAAUGAAACUUAAUACACGAAAAUAAAAAUGAAAAAUGAAAAGGCAAAUAAACACAUCCCCAUCCCGUAAUCAUCUGAAUCCCUAAUCCUCAUCUACCUGAACUAGUCCCAGCCGCCUCCUCUGCCCAUCCAGUAAGUCUCUCAUCUCCAUUCCUGAAUCGCUGGAGCAGGAACCCAAAAGCAGCUCCUUCUCCCACAAGCGAGUCUUGCCUGCUCUCUCAAGCUACUAUCUCUCCUACUGGAGCAAGAACCCAGGCAUCUCCCUCACGAGUCGCGCGCUUGCUAUCUCUCUUGCUGGAAGCAAGAACCCAGGCCAGAGUAUUCGUAACUGUGAGAAAUUCAGAAAAGAAGACAAGCAACUUUAGGGAACUGAGACAUUUAUAAAGGGAUCUCAUAUUUUCAUCUCAGCUAGUGGCUUCAUUGGAUUUCACAUUGGAAGGAAACUUUAUUUACAACAGUUGGCAAGAGUGUCAAGAUUCGCAUAUUUGGCUCCAAAUGAAAAAUAUUAAAUUUGAUUGGAUCUGGAGAAAUUAUUGCAUAAUGCUAUUUUAUUUCAAGUGAUCCAAAGGAUGAGGUUCACCAUGUUCCUCUUGGGCCUAGUGCUAUGAAAGUGGGGAUAGAUCUUGCGAGAAAGAAUGAUGCAUUUCUGUGGAGGCCUUCAAUAGUUAGUCUACUAUAGAAUAUGCUAUAGGUAGUACAAUUGCAUGACCAUCUGAUAAAUUCAUAAUUAGCUAAGCAAACGGACUCACAACAAAGACAAGUGCACAAAUGAUGAUGAAUUGAAGGAUGGAGCAAGUUUCAUGCAUGGUUUACUUUUGUGUAUCUUGUAAUGUUUAUGUUUUUCAUUUUUGAAGUAAAAAAUGUUCAAGAUUAUAAAACUUUAUUAUGUUAUGUUUUCAAACUUAAGUUAGAACUAAAAUCUCAUGAAGUAGACACAUUCAUGGUUUGAAUUAGUUAUUGUUUAAUGUAAUACUUACGGUUUAUCAAUCUAUUGAGAAUUACAUUUUA
This is a long non-coding RNA of Humulus lupulus (European hop), 1395 nucleotides long. RefSeq lists it as uncharacterized. The transcript is spliced from 5 exons. The record is from RefSeq and is a predicted model, not a curated record. NCBI's taxonomy places the organism in Eukaryota, Viridiplantae, Streptophyta, Magnoliopsida, Rosales, Cannabaceae.